This 484-nucleotide ribosomal RNA is filed under the name uncultured bacterium. RNAcentral describes it as "partial 16S ribosomal RNA". It matches the Rfam family "Bacterial small subunit ribosomal RNA", at positions 30 to 507 of the family's 1533-position model. The record is from RNAcentral.
AUUGAACGCUGGCGGCAGGCCUAACACAUGCAAGUCGAGCGGAUGAAGGGAGCUUGCUCCUGGAUCCAGCGGCGGACGGGUGAGUAAUGCCUAGGAAUCUGCCUGGUAGUGGGUGAUAACGUCCGGAAACGGGCGCUAAUACCGCAUACGUCCUGAGGGAGAAAGUGGGGGAUCUUCGGACCUCACGCUAUCAGAUGAGCCUAGGUCGGAUUAGCGAGUUGGUGGGGUAAAGGCCUACCAAGGCGACGAUCCGUAACUGGUCUGAGAGGAUGAUCAGUCACACUGGAACUGAGACACGGUCAAGACUCCUACGGGAGGCAGCAGUGGGGAAUAUUGGACAAUGGGCGAAAGCCUGAUACAGCCAUGCCGAGUGUGUGAAGAAGGUCUUCGGAUUGUAAAGCACUUUAAGUUGGGAGGAAGGGCAGUAAGUUAAUACCUUGCUGUUUUGACGUUACCAACAGAAUAAGCACCGGCUAACUUCGUG